CUGUUAGGUCUAAAUGGUUUAGAGUAUUGUUCAAGUCCUCUGUUUCCUUUUUAAUCUUCUGUCUAGAUGUCUAUCCAUUAUUUAAAGAAAAGUAUUGAGACCUCUAACUAUUAUUGUAGAACUAUUUCUCCUUUCAGUUCUGUCAGUGUUUCCUUCAUAUAUUUUCUGGCUCUGUUGUUUGGUGCAUAUAUAUCUAUAAUUUUUAUAUCUUGUUGUGGAUUGACCCUUUUAACUAUAAAAUGUCUUUCCUUGUCUCUUGUACAAUUUUUUUAAUCUAAAAUCUGUAUUGUCUGAUAUUUGUAUAGCCAUGCCAGCCAGCUCUCUUUUAGCUGCUGUUUUUAUGGAUUUACAUAGUUUUGAUAGCAAAAUUCAGAUUAUGAUCUAGGCAAGUGAUGGUGGUUCAAAAAUAAAUUUUUGUCAUGUUAUUGCUUAUUUAUUUAACUGGAGUUAGUUUAAAAGUGUCAAGAAAUGUCUUAUAUGCAUAUAUAUAUUUUUUAAGUGUGUGUACUGUUUACUAUAGAAUUUAUUCUUUGGGGAUUAGGAUAUUUCUUAUAUUUCUUUGUAGCUAAAAGCUGAUACUAUAAACUUUAGUUUACUAUAUGCAUCAUGUCCCAGUUGCAUUUAUAGUCUACAUAGUCAACUAUAGUUCUCAAUCAUAUUAAUUGCUACUAGAUUAUCAUAUAUGUGUUUGUGUGUGUGUGUAUUGUAUGUGUGUGUAUUCCCUUUAAUGUAUAUUUAAAGUAGACAUCAAGUCAGUUUUAUACCCAUAGUACCCAACAGACUUACGUUUUGACUUCUAAAACUCUGGAAAUGGAGAUCACAUAUACUUCUUUCGUUGAAAAUUUACUGUAGGUUUUUAUUUGUAAAAUUCUGAGAGUGUAUUGGCUACAUGUAUGGCAUGCAUUGCUCUCCAGGUAUACCACUAUACCAAGUUGAGCACAUUUUGGUGAUACCAUUCUAUAGAAGUAAAUUGAGGAAGCUAAUUCAAUGUUAAUUUACUAUACUUUUCUAAUAUCAGUUUCUCUUUAAUUCUUUGACAGAAAAAUUUAGGUUUAGGUGGUUAAUGCAGUAUGAUUUAGAAAUAUAUGAAUCUGAUGAUUUUUUCCUUUUGGGAAAAUUAUUUUAAAGCCCAUAGUAUUUUACUGGUAAGAUUAUUUACAUUUUAAAAGUACCUGUCAUAAUACUUUGCUAAGACAAUUUAUUAUUGAAAGAACUCAUGUAUAUUUCUGGGCAAUUAUAAGGAAGUUAAGGUUGCAGAAUGAGCUGUGAAUGUUCUUACCUGUCCUCUCCCUCUAAGAGUUGUUGCUCAUUGUUUUGUUUCUCCAUGUUGCUUCUAAUUCUCUAAUAAUCCUUUAGGAUUAGUACCUAAUCCCAGCAAACAAAAAUAUUCAAGGAGUCCCUAUGGAUUAUGAUGAGGAAAAGAAAAAUUUUAUCAAGAAGAGAUGAGCUAUUAGUGAAUAAAGUACAAAGAGAGUGAGUGGGAGGACUUUUGCCACAAGAGCAGCAAAGACCAAGAAGUUGACCCUUGAACAAUGCAGCGGUAAGGGGUUCUGAGCCUCUGUGCAGUGGAAAAUCCGUGCAUAACUUUACAGUCAGUCCUCCAUAUCUGUGGUUCGACAUCCGAGGAUUCAACCAACCAUAGAUGGGAUAGUACUGUGGUAUGUAUUAUGUUUAGUGAAAGAAAUUUACGGAUAAGUGGACCCAUGCAAUUCAAACGUGUGUUGUUCAAGGGUCAGCUGUAUAUGUAUAUCAGCUCAUUGUGCUGUACACCUUAAACUUAUACAGUGCUGUAUUAUAUUCAAUGCAGCUGGCAAAGUAGAAUGGCAAAAUAAAAUUUGUGUUUAUAGGCAAAAAAAAAAAAAGAAAUAUACUUAGAUAUUUGUUGCUACUGGGAAAACUGUAACCCAAACUCAGAUAGAAAUUAUUUUCAUAUAUCCAUACUUCUAGCUCAUCCAUUAACAAUGGAUAAUCACAAAAUUAUAUCAUAAAGUAAGUACAUUUCAAUAAAUUAGUUUCAAGUCUUACAAAAAAGGAAACAUGAUAUUUUAAUAUUAGAUGGCGUUUCAUUUAUGUAGGAAAAGUUAAAUCAUUUUAUGGAAUCAGUUAACUUGAGCUCUUGAUAUCAUUGUUUAAUCAAGUGAUUCUCAAAUUUUAUUUUGCAUCAGAAUCACUUGGAGGGUUUAAGCCAUAAUUGCUGUGCUUUCUCUCCAUUGUUUCUGAUUCAGUUGCUUUGGUCUGGGGCCCAGGGAUGAACUACGUUUUUAACAAGAACUCAGGUAAUGUUGAAGCUGCUGUUCUGGGAACCAUACUUAAGAACCAACUGGCUUGGUAGAAAAAAUACCCAGGCCAAAUCAGAAGACCUGUGUUCUAGUCUCAGUGCUGAUAUUAGCUAGCUAAGUGGGAUAGUGGUCAUUUUACCUCUGUACACCUUUCUUUGAUAAGAUGGUUAUAUCUGCCCUUUCUAGCUCACAGAUUUCUUAGAAAAAUGAAAAAUAUGAUGAUAUGUUGAAAGUAAUUUGAAAAAGCUGAUUUCAAUAUGAAGUAGCCAAGAUCAUAGUAUUUGAGCUUCCUCAAUAACCAGGAGAAGAUUAUUUUAAAAUCAAGAGCUAUAAAUAUUUAUUUAUCUACCUUUGUAUUAUACUUAAAAUACAUCUACUUUCCAAGUCAGUGGACAGUCUCUAUUCAGUUAAUUUCUGGUUAACUCAUACAUAGAGCUAGAAAGUUUUUCUUUCACCAUUACCAAACUUUUCCAUCCAGUUACUUGAUCUGUUUGGGAUCUUUUAUCUAAAGCCUUCUAUUAGUUUUCAAAUUAGUUUAAGAUGUCAGCCUUGAAGGUGACUUCAGCUACCAGAUUUUUUUGUGUGUGUGAUUAAAAAUCAGAUAGGAAAAUUAGAAUUUAAUAGAUUGGAGUGUUAUUAAUUUCCUGUAUCUCAUUUAGUUUUACUAAAAUCUGCCAGACUCGGUCUCUUAAAUGAAAACAUUCAUUUCGGUACAUAUGGUGAUGAUCCUAAAAAAUAGCUGAGAUUUGAACAGGGUUUUACUGAAAAGGGUGAUUAAUUUUAGCACACCCAUUAUGAAGGUGUCUUAAAGAGUUGUUGUACAUACACUUCACAGCAAUAUGUUUUGU
This is a long non-coding RNA of Aethalodelphis obliquidens (Pacific white-sided dolphin), 3127 nucleotides long. RefSeq lists it as uncharacterized. The record is from RefSeq and is a predicted model, not a curated record. NCBI's taxonomy places the organism in Eukaryota, Metazoa, Chordata, Mammalia, Artiodactyla, Delphinidae. The transcript is spliced from 3 exons.